CCCCAUUAUGCCAAGACUGGAGCUUGUCAUAAAAAUCAUCAGUCAUUGAUGUCUGUGAGCUUCUGAGUUGGGCCUUGAGGGAAAAGAACUGUGAAAUUUGGGUUCAAUUUAGUUGUUUUGAUCUGGACUUCUUUAUGAGUAGGGAGAAUUAAAUUGGCCACAUGUGACCUUGUAUUUAGAGGAAAUCAAAUCACUCAAACAAGAUAAUUUAGCUCCUUGCUCAACAAUUCCUCCUUUUCUCUUCAACUCCAGGGUUAUUGAUUGAGGUCCUGCCUGAAUACAUUUUACUAGAGUUUAGAGAAUUGUAAUAGUUGCAUUGUUUCUCUGGUUACAACCUCAAAAUGCACUGCAGAUUUCUUCAACUGAAAUUGCUCCAAUGUUAAUAUGUUGUGGGAAUGAAAGACUGAUUUCAGCACUUAAGCUACACCACCAGAGGAAACAGCAGUGAGGAGAAACCAAGCGCGAUCAUGGGACAAGAGGUCUUUUCUUCCUGUCUUCAUCUGCUGAUCUGCUCACCUGAUAUUCACUGAGCACCAAGUUUAUGCCAGGCUGAAGUCCUGGCUGGAAUGCUUCUUGUAUCAUAUCAUUGGAGAUUGGAAGAAUUGAGAUGUUUCUUGCUGUGGUUGUCCAACCCAGCUCUAGUUUGUCAGCCAGUAUUCUGCAUGCACAAAAGUAGUGUUUAAUCUAAGAAGACUCGAGGCAAGAGAGGUCUCACUCUGUCACCCAGGCUGGAGUUCAGUUGUGCAAUCAUGGCUCACUGCAUCAUCAAUCUCCUGGGUCUAAGUGAUCCUCCUCACUUCAGCCUCCGGAGUACCUGGGACCAUAGUGUCAGCUUAAUUUUGUGUAAAUAGUCUGGAAACAUGAUUUUCAUCACAGCAAGCAAAACUUGUAUAGACAUGUUUGUAAGAGGAUAUUUAUACACCACCCCAGGAUGCUCUUUCUCAACUGACAUCACCUGCAUUUAGUCCAUUUCAGUUCUUCCAUGGCUUUAUGUUUUCAAAUCAACCUGCCUGGACUCAAAAGCAGACAAAACCCAGAAGUAAACAGCAGAUAGAGAUGGAAAAAGCUCCAGAAGAAUUUCUCUCCUACAGAUUUAAGAGGAGAAAAUGAGACUCCUAAGUGUCAUAAAGAAUGUGUGUAGGUGGGAUAUCCUCUUUUUUUCUUCUGUUCUUUCCCAUCCAGCCCCAAGACAAUAAUAUGAUGGCAUGGUAGAGGUGAAGAUAAUGGGAGC
Molecule: long non-coding RNA, 1231 nt
Filed under: Homo sapiens (human)
Lineage: Eukaryota; Metazoa; Chordata; Mammalia; Primates; Hominidae
Description: HSALNT0340513
Source: RNAcentral